Molecule: ribosomal RNA, 386 nt
Filed under: uncultured bacterium
Lineage: Bacteria
Description: bacterial SSU rRNA
Rfam family: Bacterial small subunit ribosomal RNA
Source: RNAcentral
GACGAACGCUGGCGGCGUGCUUAACACAUGCAAGUCGAGCGGUAAGGCCCUUUCGGGAGUACACGAGCGGCGAACGGGUGAGUAACACGUGGGUGACCUGCCCUUAGCUCUGGGAUAAGCCUGGGAAACUGGGUCUAAUACCGGAUAUGACUCCAUGACGCAUGUUGUGGGGUGGAAAGCCUUGUGCGGCUAGGGAUGGGCCCGCGGCCUAUCAGCUUGUUGGUGGGGUGAUGGCCUACCAAGGCGACGACGGGUAGCCGGCCUGAGAGGGCGACCGGCCACACUGGGACUGAGACACGGCCCAGACUCCUACGGGAGGCAGCAGUGGGGAAUCUUGCGCAAUGGGCGAAAGCCUGACGCAGCGACGCCGCGUGGGGAUGACGGCC